CCUACGGGUGGUAGCAGUGAGGAAUUUUGGUCAAUGGGCGUAAGCCUGAACCAGCCAAGUCGCGUGAGGGAUGAAGGUUCUAUGGAUCGUAAACCUCUUUUAUAAGGGAAUAAAGUGCGGGACGUGUCCCGUUUUGUAUGUACCUUAUGAGUAAGGAUCGGCUAACUCCGUGCCAGCAGCCGCGGUAAUACGGAGGGUCCGAGCGUUAUCCGGAUUUAUUGGGUUUAAAGGGUGCGUAGGCGGCCUUUUAAGUCAGCGGUUAAAGUCUGUGGCUCAACCUUAGUAUUGCCGGUGAAACUGGGAGGCUUGAGUAUGAGUGAGGAAGGCAGAAUGCGUGGUGUAGCGGUGAAAUGCUUAGAUAUCACGCAGAACCCCGUUAGCGAAGGCAGCCAGCUA
Molecule: ribosomal RNA, 396 nt
Filed under: uncultured bacterium
Lineage: Bacteria
Description: partial 16S ribosomal RNA
Rfam family: Bacterial small subunit ribosomal RNA
Source: RNAcentral